GGUUGUAUGUUUAUGACGCCAUGUUGGCGACCUAUAUGCUUUAUAGUGACUUAUAUACUUUAUAGAGGGCGAGCUUUAUUGCCCAAGUCGAGAUUAGAGCAAUGUAGCCUGGAAGGCUGGUUGUGGGGGGACAUCCUGGGGUAUUGGUCGUGACCGCCAAUCGAAGGGUUAUCUCUAUAACAAGUCAUCCAAGGGCGGCAUAUGUUCAUUAAGACUUGAG
This 220-nucleotide long non-coding RNA is filed under the name Lotus japonicus. Its description in RNAcentral is "long non-coding RNA (LJAP_LNC000935)". The record is from RNAcentral. Lineage: Eukaryota; Viridiplantae; Streptophyta; Magnoliopsida; Fabales; Fabaceae.